This 490-nucleotide ribosomal RNA is filed under the name uncultured bacterium. Its description in RNAcentral is "bacterial SSU rRNA". It matches the Rfam family "Bacterial small subunit ribosomal RNA", at positions 501 to 989 of the family's 1533-position model. The record is from RNAcentral.
CUACGUGCCAGCAGCCGCGGUAAUACGUAGGGCGCGAGCGUUGUCCGGAAUUAUUGGGCGUAAAGGGCUUGUAGGCGGUUGGUCGCGUCUGCCGUGAAAUUCUCUGGCUUAACUGGGGGCGUGCGGUGGGUACGGGCUGACUUGAGUGCGGUAGGGGAGACUGGAACUCCUGGUGUAGCGGUGGAAUGCGCAGAUAUCAGGAAGAACACCGGUGGCGAAGGCGGGUCUCUGGGCCGUUACUGACGCUGAGGAGCGAAAGCGUGGGGAGCGAACAGGAUUAGAUACCCUGGUAGUCCACGCUGUAAACGUUGGGCACUAGGUGUGGGGGCCACCCGUGGUUUCUGCGCCGUAGCUAACGCUUUAAGUGCCCCGCCUGGGGAGUACGGCCGCAAGGCUAAAACUCAAAGAAAUUGACGGGGGCCCGCACAAGCGGCGGAGCAUGCGGAUUAAUUCGAUGCAACGCGAAGAACCUUACCAAGGCUUGACAUGC